GACGAACGCUUGCGGCGUGCCUAAGAAAUGCAAGUCGAGCGAGGUUAGAAGCUUGCUUCGAAGCCUAGCGGCGAACGGUCGAGUAACACGUAGGCAACCUGCCCCAAAGCGGGGGAUAGCCCACCGAAAGGUGGAUUAAUACCGCAUGUGGUCAUGAUUUGGCAUCUUAUUAUGACUAAAGCAGCAAUGCACUUUGGGAUGGGCUUGCGGCCUAUCAGCUAGUUGGUGAGGUAACGGCUCACCAAGGCGACGACGGGUAGCUGGUCUGAGAGGAUGGUCAGCCGGACUGGGACUGAGACACGGCCCAGACUCCUACGGGUGGCUG
Molecule: ribosomal RNA, 325 nt
Filed under: uncultured Armatimonadota bacterium
Lineage: Bacteria; Bacillati; Armatimonadota
Description: bacterial SSU rRNA
Rfam family: Bacterial small subunit ribosomal RNA
Source: RNAcentral